AAAAGCAAUCCCUACGGAUGCUCAUGAGAUUCACAUCCCGCGUCUUUAUGUGCCACCUUGUUAACAUGUAUGUUUUUGUCAAAAGUGUCUUAACGGCACAGAGAUGUUUCUGCGAAGAGUUCUUUUUGGGAUCUACUACAGCGGAUAGCUUACGGAAGAAUUUGUAAAAAGCUUUGCUUUAUAGAAAUCAUAAAAUGUAUAACAAGUAAUUUCUUAAUUCUGCCCUUGGGGUUGAAGCUUUUCAUUAUAAACCGUUAGCAAUAGUUUAAAGCUAUUUGACACGUUGCCAUAGUAGUCUGACUGUUUUCAGGUCCGUGGGCUUGCCUGCUGUCAGCGUAGUGCACUGAUCUGUGUUCAGGCCUGAUUACAUUGAAGCAGUUGCUGAUCAUCAACCAGCUAUUGUUUCUGAACAGCAUGAAAAAAGCCAGAUAAAAUGGACCAUUAUGAAAGAAAAACACUUUGAUAUGGGUGUCAUUCAAAUAAAAGUAUUGACUGUGAUGGUUGCAUCUGCAGGCCGAGCCUGCACAGCUGUGGCGAGAAUAUUUUGUAUGACUUGAAACAGCAUACCAUUAUGCUUUGAGGCCCAUGUAGAAAUUCAGUUGGUUUGAUUUCUGUGGUAUGCUCUCUAACUAGCAUUCAAAUGUGAAUGACUUACUGCUAGAAAUAAAUGCAAUGAUGAAUCCAUGCUUUACUGUAUACAAUGUUAUUUAAUAUCAUAUUUUUUUAUGCUGUGAAAAAACUCACAAAGUAGACACUGCUCUCAGAUACAGUGUGUAAAAUCAACAGCAAGGUCGAUAUAACUCUGGUUUUACAUGCUGAAAGCUGAGCAGUAUCUGUCCAGGACAACUCUGCAGCAUCCAUCUGGGCUCUUGAUUUGCCUUCUGUCUCUGAUAUAAAGUAUUUUAAAACUGGUCUUUGAAUUUAAAACUUGUUUGUAUUUUCAUAAAAAUUAGGUGUUGUUUUAUAUCAGUUCUUCCUACAUCAGCAGUGAAAAUGCACCUGUUUGUCCCCCAAUACUUACUGUUAUCUUAGAGACUGUAGCUAAGAUAAGUGGUGACACCAGUAGACUUUUGUCUCUGCGGCUAAAAAGCAAAUCAAUGUUUCCACAAACAGAUUUUUUUUUUUAAAAUGCAUAAUAUUGAAAGAAUAUUGUAGAUAGACUUGUAUGGACAAGGAAUUACUGAGAGGAUCUACAACAGACAACACUGUGACUGAAUGGCACUGAGUAAUUAAUGAAAAACACAGGAGGAAAUUCACCUCUUUCACUGAGAGUGUCUGUUCCUACAGCGGCCAAAUUCUGACCUCAAUUAUAUCUGUGUGACCUUAUCUAGCACCAUCUGUUCAAAAAUGCAUGCCUAGCUCCUUUUUGCUGUCUCAAAUUUUCUGUAAGUGUGUUUUGAAAUCUAAUUAAAUAUUGUAGUUAUAUCUGUAAUUUGUUUACAUUUUUAUCUUGAUUUUACUUACACUUUCUAAUAUUAACAUACACAAACAGAUGAAAAGCAAAUCUGAGAGUAAUUUUCUUAAUAAAAAUAAUCAACUGUUUGAUUAGCAUUUGCUAUGGAAACUUACUUAAGUGUGAAAUAUUUUUGACACCUAGGAUUCUGAAUCCAUCAUGCUUCUAAUUAAAAUAUAUUUUUAAAUGACCCUGUAUUGUGGUUUUUCUGUUUCAAGUAGAUUUGUGGAAGCACUGUACUCUCAGUUUUCGAAAUUCUUUUUUUUCUCUUUCGAUCCCUUUCAUGGCUUCUUACAAUACGUAUGUUCUCUCAUUCAGUGAAUGGCACUGGAAAGGAUGAAAAGAUUUAUUCAUGGUGAAUAUCUCCAUUAUCUACCUCUUAAAUCUUCUAGGAAAGACCCUUAUGCCCUCUUUCAUGCUUGAGAAGAGCUAUCUAUAAACAUUUUCAAAGCUACUUAGUUAUCCUCACCUGAAUCCUCCAUAAAACUUAACACCAGUGUGAGGUCUGUCAAAAUGUGUAAUGUUUAAAUCACAUGAUUAUCCAGACCUCUGCUUCCCAUACUGUUCUCAUGUUUUCACGUCUUCCCCAACAAUCUUUUUCCAUGUGUUAAGUGUUCUCAUGUACUGUAAGGUCUUUUGGGUAUGGGUUGCCAUUUCAUUUUAAGUUUGUACAGUGUAUAGUGCCAGUGUGUCCUAGCUUAGCACUCCUUGAUCCUUGACAAUAUGUUAAUGAGCAUUAAUAUAUAAAAUGAGAAAAAAUACCAUUGCUAACUAGAAUAACCAGGCAUCAAUAAUAACUGAAUAAUAAAUAGUCAUGUUUCCAUUGCUAAAUUUGCUUUUGUUACCACUUUUUUUAUCAGAUUGCUAAGUUACAGUAGCUUACUUUCUUACUUUGUAACCUCAAAAUAAUUAUUACAUGUCACAGAAUAAUAUGUUCUUACAGUAUUAUUUUGGCCUAUUGUAUCAGUCUAUCUCAAAACAAGUUACGUGUAAUAUAUUUCCUAUUUGUAAUUGCUGUAGUGGUCCACUGCAGUAAUAAAGUUGUCACAUGGAACAUGUAAUGGACCACUUUACAUUGUUGGAACUGCUUUUUUUAUUGCAACUCCUUGUAACUUUAUGAUGUCUUCAUAAAUGUGAUCCAUGGCAAUAAUAAAGUUGUUGGACAAAUACA
Harpia harpyja (harpy eagle) is the source of this 2624-nucleotide long non-coding RNA. RefSeq lists it as uncharacterized. The transcript has 2 exons. The record is from RefSeq and is a predicted model, not a curated record. Lineage: Eukaryota; Metazoa; Chordata; Aves; Accipitriformes; Accipitridae.